RNAcentral lists this ribosomal RNA (253 nucleotides) under uncultured bacterium. Its description in RNAcentral is "partial 16S ribosomal RNA". It matches the Rfam family "Bacterial small subunit ribosomal RNA", at positions 524 to 776 of the family's 1533-position model. The record is from RNAcentral.
UACGAAGGGAGCUAGCGUUGUUCGGAAUUACUGGGCGUAAAGGGCGCGUAGGCGGCGCCAUAAGUCAGAUGUGAAAGCCCCGGGCUUAACCUGGGAACUGCAUUUGAUACUGUGGUGCUAGAGUGAGAAAGAGGAGAGUGGAAUUGCGAGUGUAGAGGUGAAAUUCGUAGAUAUUCGCAGGAACACCAGUGGCGAAGGCGACUCUCUGGUUCUUAACUGACGCUGAGGCGCGAAAGCGUGGGGAGCAAACAGG